GACGAACGCUGGCGGCGUGCCUAAUACAUGCAAGUAGGACGCAGUUGCGAACGGGUGAGUAACGCGUAGGUCACUGCCUAUUAGAGGGGGAUCACUAUUGGAAACGAUAGCUAAUACCGCAUACUCGUAGAUGGACCUGCGUUGUAUUAGCUAGUAGGUAGGGUAAUGGACUACCUAGGCGACGAUACAUUGCCGACCUGAGAGGGUGAUCGGCCACAAUGGGACUGAGACACGGCCCGGACUCCUACGGGAGGCAGCAGUAGGGAAUCUGCGGCAAUGGGGGGAACCCUGACUGAGCAAAGCCGCGUGAGUGAAGAAGGUCUUCGGAUCGUAAAGCUCUGUUGUUAAGGAAGCGGUACUUAACCAGAAAGGGACGGCUAACUACGUGCCAGCAGCCGCGGUAAUAC
This 407-nucleotide ribosomal RNA is filed under the name uncultured bacterium. RNAcentral describes it as "partial 16S ribosomal RNA". It matches the Rfam family "Bacterial small subunit ribosomal RNA", at positions 28 to 526 of the family's 1533-position model. The record is from RNAcentral.